Molecule: ribosomal RNA, 399 nt
Filed under: uncultured bacterium
Lineage: Bacteria
Description: partial 16S ribosomal RNA
Rfam family: Bacterial small subunit ribosomal RNA
Source: RNAcentral
UGGGGAAUUUUGGACAAUGGGCGAAAGCCUGAUCCAGCAAUGCCGCGUGUGUGAAGAAGGCCUUCGGGUUGUAAAGCACUUUUGUCCGGAAAGAAAUCCUUGGCUCUAAUACAGUCGGGGGAUGACGGUACCGGAAGAAUAAGCACCGGCUAACUACGUGCCAGCAGCCGCGGUAAUACGUAGGGUGCAAGCGUUAAUCGGAAUUACUGGGCGUAAAGCGUGCGCAGGCGGUUUGCUAAGACCGAUGUGAAAUCCCCGGGCCCAACCUGGGAACUGCAUUGGUGACUGGCAGGCUAGAGUAUGGCAGAGGGGGGUAGAAUUCCACGUGUAGCAGUGAAAUGCGUAGAGAUGUGGAGGAAUACCGAUGGCGAAGGCAGCCCCCUGGGCCAAUACUGACGC